CCUACGGGUGGCUGCAGUGAGGAAUAUUGGUCAAUGGGCGCGAGCCUGAACCAGCCAAGUAGCGUGAAGGAUGACUGCCCUACGGGUUGUAAACUUCUUUUAUAAAGGAAUAAAGUGAGGCACGUGUGCCUUUUUGUAAGUACCUUAUGAAUAAGGAUCGGCUAACUCCGUGCCAGCAGCCGCGGUAAUACGGAGGAUCCGAGCGUUAUCCGGAUUUAUUGGGUUUAAAGGGUGCGUAGAUGGGUUGUUAAGUUAGUUGUGAAAGUUUGCGGCUCAACCGUAAAAUUGCCAUUGAUACUGGCAGCCUUGAGUGCAGUUGAGGUAGGCGGAAUGCGUGGUGUAGCGGUGAAAUGCUUAGAUAUCACGAAGAACUCCGAUUGCGAAGGCAGCUUACUAAGCUGCCACUGACAUUGAUGCUCGAAAGUGUGGGUAUCAAACAGGAUUAGAUACCCUAGUAGUC
Molecule: ribosomal RNA, 460 nt
Filed under: uncultured bacterium
Lineage: Bacteria
Description: partial 16S ribosomal RNA
Rfam family: Bacterial small subunit ribosomal RNA
Source: RNAcentral